UACGGAGGGUGCAAACGUUGUUCGGAAUUAUUGGGCGUAAAGAGCAUGUAGGCGGUCUGUCAAGUCUGAUGUGAAAGCCCGGGGCUCAACCCCGGAAGUGCAUUGGAAACUGGCAGACUUGAGUACGGGAGAGGAAAGUGGAAUUUCGAGUGUAGGGGUGAAAUCCGUAGAUAUUCGAAGGAACACCAGUGGCGAAGGCGGCUUUCUGGACCGAUACUGACGCUGAGAUGCGAAAGCGUGGGGAGCAAAC
This 250-nucleotide ribosomal RNA is filed under the name uncultured bacterium. Its description in RNAcentral is "partial 16S ribosomal RNA". It matches the Rfam family "Bacterial small subunit ribosomal RNA", at positions 524 to 773 of the family's 1533-position model. The record is from RNAcentral.